AGCUGGCUACCAGUAGGGAAUGAUCUUGUCUGGAGAUCCCUUCUUCUGGUGUUUUGUGGUGAGCCCAGCAUAAGGGUUGGCUGCCUGACUGUGAAGGGGGGGGUGAUGAAGUCUGAAGAAAUACUGAAGAAAACCCUGGCUAUGAGGACCUGCUGGGCUGUGGUCUCACUAGAUGUCAACCAUCUAGGAGAAGAAGGCAGCAGAUAAGUUUGCAUUGACUCCUUCCAGCCCAGGCAAGGGCCCAACUGACCAUGGUCAGGGGAAGAAAGAUUGGUUGCUAUCAGCACCUGGACCACAGUGAACAUUAAGGUUUAUUCUCUCGAGAAUGUAUUAAAGGAGAUGCAUGCUUUAUCA
Lagopus muta (rock ptarmigan) is the source of this 354-nucleotide long non-coding RNA. RefSeq lists it as uncharacterized. The transcript has 3 exons. The record is from RefSeq and is a predicted model, not a curated record. NCBI's taxonomy places the organism in Eukaryota, Metazoa, Chordata, Aves, Galliformes, Phasianidae.